Molecule: long non-coding RNA, 1451 nt
Filed under: Homo sapiens (human)
Lineage: Eukaryota; Metazoa; Chordata; Mammalia; Primates; Hominidae
Description: HSALNT0187943
Source: RNAcentral
ACAAGCAUGUGCCACCACCCCUGGCUAAUUUUGUAUUUUUAGUAGAGACGGGGUUUCUCCAUGUUGGUCAGGCUGGUCUCGAACUCCCUACCUCACAUGAUCCACCUGCUUCGGCCUUCCAAAGUGCUGGGAUUACAGGCGUGAGCCACUGUGCCAGCCCUAAUUGGCUCUUUUUAAAUGUAGAAAAACAGUUAUCAUCAUUCUGGGAUCAUUGGGAUUAUUGGUUCUGCCUCCAGAUAAGCAGAAUAAACAAACCUCAGUUCCAGUGGAAACUGCUUCUGUUGCAUUUGUCCACACGAGGCUCUCACAGCCAAUUCUAAUUGGUUAUUUGCUUUUCUCUUGUGUCUGUAUCUUCACAUUUACCUAGGCUAAUGGACAGCUCCUGAGAAUAUUGUCACUUAAGAUGUUUCCAAAAACUAUUUGCCCUAUGUUAGCAGAGCUAAUCAGCUCACUUGCAUAUAGGGUUGUCCAUAGGAUUUAGUUUCUGUUUUCAUUUCAGGAAGGGGUCAAGUAGCUUGUGAUAGACCUUUAAAAAGUAUAAGUGAUAUAUCUACUUAAAUAUAUUCCUAUUUCAGUAAACUUAUAUCAGGGGUAGGAGGGACAAGUACAUACCCAGCCAACUGAUUUCACAUGAUCUUGCCACUAAAUAUUAUUAGAUAGGAAAGUAAAGGCAUUAUACUUAUUCUUUUUUAUUUUUAUUUUUUGAGACAGUGUUUCACUUCAUCUCCCAGGCUUGACUUCAGUGGCACAGUCAUAGCUCACUGCAGCCUCGACCCCCAAGGCUCAAGUGAUCCUCACACUUCAGCUUCCCUAGUAGUUGGGACUAUAGGCGUGUACCACCACACCCAGCUGGGUUACACUUUGUCUAGUCUUCUCUUUUACAGUUAUAUACAAUAACCUGCACCCACUAUUUUAUUCUUGAGAUUGCAGUGAUAGAAAAGUAGGAUAAGAAAGGGCUGGGGGUAAAGUGGAAAAUGGGAUGAAUGAGAGAGUCAUUCAUAACUUAUUCAGAUUUAAGUAUUGGAUUAUUGAUUUAUAUAUAGUCUAGUUCCCCACAUAGAAACUAUAUCCAUAGCUGACAUAAAUUUUUUUUUUAUUGCAGUAUGUGAUUAUACUUCACUUGUCUAAAAGACUUUGGUCCAACAACUUCUCUUCUCUAUAAUAUAAACAAGAAGUAGGAAAUAAGGGGGAUCGCUGUGAUAAAUGAUAAGUUGUAAUAUUUCUGCACUAAUGCUCAUGAACUUGGCUGAAAAGACAGCCCUUUUGAUUUUCAGUCAGUCCCUGUUUUCCCUGCCUGUAGAAGUAACAUGGAAGUAACCUAUUUGAAAGGAGGAGAAGGCAGGUGGUAGCAAGCAUGAUGGUAGCAUAAGAAGUGGCAGUGGAUGGCCAGGUGUGAGCCCCUGCGCCCAGCUGACACCCAGAUUCUUGACCUACAGAAACUUAAUUUUCAG